Molecule: ribosomal RNA, 386 nt
Filed under: uncultured methanogenic archaeon
Lineage: Archaea; Methanobacteriati; Methanobacteriota
Description: bacterial SSU rRNA
Rfam family: Archaeal small subunit ribosomal RNA
Source: RNAcentral
CACCGACAGCUCUAGUGGUAGCAGUUUUUAUUGGGCCUAAAGCGUCCGUAGCCGGUUUAAUAAGUCUCUGGUGAAAUCCUGUAGCUUAACUGUGGGAAUAGCUGGAGAUACUAUUAGACUUGAGACCGGGAGAGGUUAGAGGUACUCCCAGGGUAGAGGUGAAAUUCUGUAAUCCUGGGAGGACCGCCUGUUGCGAAGGCGUCUAACUGGAACGGUUCUGACGGUGAGGGACGAAAGUUAGGGGCGCGAACCGGAUUAGAUACCCGGGUAGUCCUAACUGUAAACGAUGCGGACUUGGUGUUGGGGUGGCUUUGAGCUGCUCCAGUGCCGAAGGGAAGCUGUUAAGUCCGCCGCCUGGGAAGUACGGUCGCAAGACUGAAACUUAA